CGGAGCAAAACAAACCCCCCCCCGAAGUUCCCGGGAUGAGCGGCCGCAGCCGGCCGGGCCUGCGGCGUCCAUGACAGGAGGAGCCGGCACCGGGAGAUUCCCACGGAUCCGGAUCCGGCGCUCGGGUGCUCCCUGCUCCGGAGGGCCCCGGGGGGGCUCCGGGAUCGGUGACCCCGGGGGGGCUCCGGGCAACCAUGAGUGAGGUUUUGGUGGUCAAAGAGGGGUGGCUGCACAAGAGGGGUGAGUGGGGCUGGGAUCUGGGAUUUGGGGUU
Molecule: long non-coding RNA, 272 nt
Organism: Cinclus cinclus
Lineage: Eukaryota; Metazoa; Chordata; Aves; Passeriformes; Cinclidae
Exons: 3
Source: RefSeq, a predicted model, not a curated record